Molecule: small nucleolar RNA, 89 nt
Organism: Tripterygium wilfordii
Lineage: Eukaryota; Viridiplantae; Streptophyta; Magnoliopsida; Celastrales; Celastraceae
Product: small nucleolar RNA SNORD24
Exons: 1
Source: RefSeq, a predicted model, not a curated record
GGCCGAUGAUGUGAGAAAAUAUUUGCUACUCUUGAUGGGAUUCAUGGAGUUCCAUCUGAUGAUUUUUUUCCACCAAGAUCUCUGAGGCC